This 301-nucleotide ribosomal RNA is filed under the name uncultured bacterium. Its description in RNAcentral is "partial 16S ribosomal RNA". It matches the Rfam family "Bacterial small subunit ribosomal RNA", at positions 509 to 807 of the family's 1533-position model. The record is from RNAcentral.
CAGUCGCCGCGGGAAUACGUAGGGUGCGAGCGUUAAUCGGAAUUACUGGGCGUAAAGCGUGCGCAGGCGGUGAUGUAAGACAGAUGUGAAAUCCCCGGGCUCAACCUGGGAACUGCAUUAGUGACUGCAUCGCUGGAGUGCGGCAGAGGGGGAUGGAAUUCCGCGUGUAGCAGUGAAAUGCGUAGAUAUGCGGAGGAACACCGAUGGCGAAGGCAAUCCCCUGGGCCUGCACUGACGCUCAUGCACGAAAGCGUGGGGAGCAAACAGGAUUAGAUACCCCAGUAGUCCCUGUCUCUUAUAC